CUUCCUUUUAUACUCUCUGGAUAAUCUCUUUGUGAUCAACCGCCUAAAAACUGCUUGAUCGUUCUACAACUGUCCACUUUCUUCAUAAUGGCCAACUUGUCAUGGAAAGGCCUUUUUUUAACUGCUGCCAUUACUCUUCGUCGUUCAAUCGUUUUCGAUUGAAUUCCUUGAAUCGUGGAACGUGAUAGGGCUGCUUUAAUAACUGCUUUGAUAACUGCACUUCUUGAUAAUCACAACACUUUAUGUUUGCUAAGACCUUGGGCGACUCGAAUGUUUGGGCGAAAAUAAAAUAACAGCUCUGGGCGACUGCAUGACACUCCAUUCGCUCAGAUUCUGGGCGACUUGUAAAUUUGGGCGAUGGUGUUACCGCAUUCUUGGGCCUCCCUAUUUGGGUCUUUAUCUUGAAUUAUUUGAUUGGGUUUCGUUCUUUGGAAUAUCUGAUUUGGGGAUCUUCCAAUUGGGUUUCAUUCCUUGGGCCGUUCGAUUUGAGCUGAAUUUUUAUGUGUCAACAAGUUGCAAGUAAAACAUAACAACCAUGUAAACUUCAAUAACGAUUGAAUUUCUUCUGAAAAUGAGAAAAUAAUGCCCCUCAAACUGGGGUUCAAUAUCAUAUUAAUUUAGCGUGUGCAGCUAGUUUACCUGGUACAACAAAAAAUGUCGAAUUACACGACAAAUUAUUGAAUUAUUGCAAAAAUGAUUAAUACAUGUAAGUAAUGAAUCAUUGUGCUGUUCAUGCUUUGAUGAUGGAAAUUAGAGAAUAUGUGUGCGCGAUGGUGCAUUCAACAAGAUACUGUCAAAUCUCCAUUUCAUACAGUGCAGUUAGAUGACGGGCUUAGAGGUCAAUGAUUUUUUCUGAACUUAAUUUGCAAAUAAUGGAUAUAUGAAUGGCUUUUGUCCAAAUCCUUCGUAAAAGGGGAAAAAUCACAAUCUGUUACCAUCUCCAGCAAGAAAAUCACAAAAAUCAGAUUAUUUUCCAGAGGUAAUUUUCUCAAAAUUCAUCUUCGAUAUUCUAAACCCCUUGUCUACAUUUUUCUUGAUUCUCAAGAUUCAUUGGAGAAAGUCCAUAGUUUUUCAAUAUGGAUUUUUACAAGAUUUUGGAUAACGAAUGAAGCCUGGAAUUGAAUUUUUUGGUACUUCCUCGUAGUUUGUAAAUCUUAAGCAAUUAGGCAUUUCCAAUCUUUUCCGAGAACAUUUUUCCCUUUUCCUUGAAAUUCCUUUUUUUUUUUUUUUCCCAUUCACUGUCAUGACUGGCGAAUCUGUUUGAUGAUGAAGUUAAUCCAUCCGUGGUAAUUCCUUCUGGAUGGUUUAAAAUAGCUUCGUAACGUUCGUUCCACUCUUUUGCCAACGUGGUGUAUAUACAAUCGGUUAUACAGAACAAAGAAUAGAUUGUCUUUAGUAUUUGUCCCAUUUCUUGAAAGAUAAAAUACCUCCAAAUAAAUUUUUCUGCUACUAAUUUUCAACAACAGCUUAGGGCACACAGCACACGACAAAUCUUUGGCCUAGAAUUGGUGGGGUGCGCCAGGCCCUUGCAAUAGUGCAACACAUGGGCGACCCAUGAAAGCCCGGGAAGCAAGCUGCCUUGAUGGGCCUUCCCCCUCAAAAAAUAAAUUUAAUAUCGUGUGGGCCAUUGACCCACAUAUCAGAUAUUAAACUGAUAAGAACAGAUACUACACUUGAUCUUAGCCAAAAGGCCGAGAAAGGUAUGCCUAUUCAAAUGUUUGCCCAACUAUUUUAUAACACUAAGCUCUCUCUCAGGUUCCCUAAUAAUUCGAUGUGGGAUGGAAACAGUAUUGAAAAUGAUGGAUCAAAUGACUGAACAUGCUUGCAAUCCUAACUAUAUUACGAUAUAAAUCCUUAAUGAAUGGCUUUCUGCAG
RNAcentral lists this long non-coding RNA (1875 nucleotides) under Olea europaea subsp. europaea. Lineage: Eukaryota; Viridiplantae; Streptophyta; Magnoliopsida; Lamiales; Oleaceae. The record is from RNAcentral.